CUUCUCUAACUAGGAACAAAUUUAGGCUAUUCUGAACAAUCUGUAUGUUCUUUUACUGUGGAAUGAAGUAACCCCUUGGGCUAAACAAGAACUGAAUGAACUUACAUGAAAAAUAAUAUGAGCUGCUCCAGUCACCUCAGCUUAACUGAAAAAAAAGGGCAAGGCACAUACCAAGAGAAAUGGGGAAGGAGACAUGCCAGGGUUCUCUCCAGACAUUCUUCUGAGAAAGUCUACUUUCUUGUGCAAACAGAGAGAUACUUCCAAGCUUGCUUUUCUAGGAAUUCCUGUGUGUCAUUGCCCUCUGAGACAAGUGAGAAAUGAGGCCAUGUCUCAUUUAUACCUUUGAAGAGGAUGAUUCCUUCCUGCCAUGAUCCAAUACCUAGUUUUUAAAAGUCUUCCCAGUUACUUACAUUUUCAUGCUCAAAAUUGCUGUGGUAGAGGUGAAGAGUCUUGGAAUAAUGACUAUGACACAACUUUUAAAAAUCCCUCAAGUAGUUAAUUACAUUCCUGGAGAGCUGGAGUAAUAACAGGAAUACUCAGAGUUGCAAUAAAAAUGUAAGAAGAUUUUUAGAAGGGCAUAAUUCACUUUUUAACUACAGUCUGUUUUGAAUUAUCAAAGGCAAGAGAGAGAGAGAGGGAAGGGGAGCAGAAAUGAGAUAACUCACGUGAAGAAAUAGCACAGGAAAUACAAACCAUAUGUACGCCAGACUAUGAAAACACACCAACAUAUCCACCUUCAGAAAGCUUGUAAGCACAUUUCCACAGAGAGCAGGGAUACCUGGAAGCAGCAGUGGGUCACUUGGGGCCCAGCACAUGUGGCUUUCCCCAUCCCUGGCUGAAGCCAAGACACGGCACCACCCCUACACUGCUGGGGUAAGGUGGGAACUGGUCACAGGUGUGUGAGGGUGGCUGUGCCAGGAAAGCCUGGCAGGUGCCCUCCAGGCAGGCUGUCCAUGCCCAGGUGAGGCCAUGGCACAGGAUGGCAUUUUCUGCACGUGUGGAACCGGGCAGCCCUGGUGGAUGCGAGCGCUCUGCGGCGCGCUGGGACUUUCCUGUGCAGCAUCUGCCACCGCCUGGGAACUGGGCACAGAUGUUUCCCCCCAGUGCCAGAGAGGAUGAGACCUCACCUUGUGACAGGAAGCUGCACAGGACAGGUCUGUGCAAACACACAGGUCCUGUGGAAUAGCUGGAGCCAGGCAGUCGCACACAGAACCCUGAUACACAAUGUAGGAUUCAGAGUGUGGAGGUCCCGAGCAGUAGCUGGACUUCUUGAUACUGCUAACUAAAGGCUGUUGUUUCUGAGGUUGUAGCAGCUGGGUACUUUUUAAGAAGAGAAGAUAGAGCUAAGCUUACUGGUAACAUUAUUUUAGGCAGCAAUUUCUGUGUGUCUUCUCUAAUUUUUGGCAUUCAAAAAACAGCUAUACCACAGAGGAGUAUUCUGGAUGCUUCUCUUUACCUUCUGCUUUCCAGGAACCCCAACGCUUAGAUGAGUUCCUGUUGACACUUUAUACAAAUCAUGGUUUUUU
Molecule: long non-coding RNA, 1526 nt
Organism: Melospiza melodia melodia
Lineage: Eukaryota; Metazoa; Chordata; Aves; Passeriformes; Passerellidae
Exons: 4
Source: RefSeq, a predicted model, not a curated record